RNAcentral lists this transfer RNA (71 nucleotides) under Marmota monax (woodchuck). Its description in RNAcentral is "tRNA.Thr". The record is from RNAcentral. Lineage: Eukaryota; Metazoa; Chordata; Mammalia; Rodentia; Sciuridae.
GGGGUUGUGGCUCAGCGGUAGAUCGCUCGUCUUGUAUGUGUGAGACCCUGAGUUUGAUCCUCAGCACCACA